GUGAGUAACACGUGAGCAACCUGCCCUGGACUCUGGGAUAAGCGCUGGAAACGGCGUCUAAUACUGGAUAUGAGCUCUCAUCGCAUGGUGGGGGUUGGAAAGAUUUUUCGGUCUGGGAUGGGCUCGCGGCCUAUCAGCUUGUUGGUGAGGUAAUGGCUCACCAAGGCGUCGACGGGUAGCCGGCCUGAGAGGGUGACCGGCCACACUGGGACUGAGACACGGCCCAGACUCCUACGGGAGGCAGCAGUGGGGAAUAUUGCACAAUGGGCGGAAGCCUGAUGCAGCAACGCCGCGUGAGGGAUGACGGCCUUCGGGUUGUAAACCUCUUUUAGCAGGGAAGAAGCGAGAGUGACGGUACCUGCAGAAAAAGCGCCGGCUAACUACGUGCCAGCAGCCGCGGUAAUACGUAGGGCGCAAGCGUUAUCCGGAAUUAUUGGGCGUAAAGAGCUCGUAGGCGGUUUGUCGCGUCUGCUGUGAAAUCCCGAGGCUCAACCUCGGGCCUGCAGUGGGUACGGGCAGACUAGAGUGCGGUAGGGGAGAUUGGAAUUCCUGGUGUAGCGGUGGAAUGCGCAGAUAUCAGGAGGAACACCGAUGGCGAAGGCAGAUCUCUGGGCCGUAACUGACGCUGAGGAGCGAAAGGGUGGGGAGCAAACAGGCUUAGAUACCCUGGUAGUCCACCCCGUAAACGUUGGGAACUAGUUGUGGGGACCAUUCCACGGUUUCCGUGACGCAGCUAACGCA
Molecule: ribosomal RNA, 741 nt
Filed under: Microbacterium aurantiacum
Lineage: Bacteria; Bacillati; Actinomycetota; Actinomycetes; Micrococcales; Microbacteriaceae
Description: partial 16S ribosomal RNA
Rfam family: Bacterial small subunit ribosomal RNA
Source: RNAcentral